This is a long non-coding RNA of Capsicum annuum, 853 nucleotides long. RefSeq lists it as uncharacterized. The record is from RefSeq and is a predicted model, not a curated record. Lineage: Eukaryota; Viridiplantae; Streptophyta; Magnoliopsida; Solanales; Solanaceae. The transcript has 2 exons.
UCGCGCUGGGUUGGGCUCCAUUUGGGGGGUAGCGCUCCCUACCAAGGAUUUGUCCAUACCUAGGGCUCGAACCCGAGACCUCUGAUUAAGGAAGGAGCAGCUUCAUCCACUGCACCACAUCCUUUAGUGAUCUAGUGCUCAAAUUUGAGACCUCUAAUUAUAAAUGAAACAGCACUUACCGCUCUACAGGUUGAUUCCUUGGACAAUAUCUUUGCCAAACUUUUAAAGAUUCUUUUGACAUUUGAAUACAAAUUAAAUCUUCUUUAUAAAUAGCCUAAAAUACUUCACUAACUCUUAGGUAGAAUUAAUUUCACAACAAAAACACCAUGAAAAUUCUUAUAUUAGUUUCAUGGCUUUGCCUUAUUAUGUUCUUGAAUAUUUUAACAUACUCAUCUUGCACCUUCAUCCCAAAAUCCACAAAUUAUGAACUAGUCUUGCACAAUGAAAAAAAGGGAAAGAUUGCAAAUGAUUCAUUGGUUGAAUCCACAAGUACAAAGAGCAACAAGGAUGAACAUAGAAAUCUUCAUAAAAUUAUUCAUCAAAAAAGAGGAGCUUAUGGUGGACCAGACCUUCUUAGAAAGGGACCUAAAAAAAAUGGAGCCAAUAAUUACAAGUUUGAAUGGCCAAUUUUAAUUUCUUCUCUCUUAUUUUUUCUAGUUUUGGUAAUUACUAAUAAUCUGUGGUAGAUUACUAUUUCGAUAUGUAUUACUUGAGUCGAGAGUGUUUUAAAAUAGUAUUUCUAUUUUCAUGAGCUAAGGGUAACGUGUACCAUUUUACCUUUUUCCUUCGAACUCUUCUUAUUGGAUUACGUUGGAUAUGUUAUUGUUGUGAUAGUUAAGAAAAUAUUACCUUC